Centrocercus urophasianus (Greater sage-grouse) is the source of this 5049-nucleotide long non-coding RNA. RefSeq lists it as uncharacterized. NCBI's taxonomy places the organism in Eukaryota, Metazoa, Chordata, Aves, Galliformes, Phasianidae. The record is from RefSeq and is a predicted model, not a curated record. The transcript has 6 exons.
UCUAAAGAACACUGCAUAGAAAGCUUAGCUAGAAGAACAACUUCCUACAGUUUCUUUCAUGGCUUCUGAAGAGAUAGGUAUGAAGAUCCCAUCCCAUGACUUUUAAGCAUAUUACAAACUUUUAGUUGCCCUAACCAAAGAUAGAAUGUUAAAGCAGGGAUUGGAGAAAGAAGGGUCAAGCUCUCAGAGUCGUGUGACUUUGUGAAGUGUACUGCUUAUUUUACAGAGCUUAAAACCUUCUGGAGAGAGAGAGGGCUAUAUAAAUGGUUGGGUCUGUGUUUUAGGUCAAAUGCUGCUGUUCUCUUGGCAAGUCAGUCUUUUCUCUUUGAAUAUGGUCUUAUUCCUCAGUGGCACUAUGUAUGUGCAUGCCACUUUGUGACUGUGGUAUGAUCUAUGGCCAAGAGGAUGCUUCGUAUUAUAUUUACAGUAUAAAUACAAAGUAAAGUUACUGUCAGUAAUUCUGAUUUGUUUGUCUGAUAUGACCUCUGCUAAGCUGCAGAGGAAUUAAGGCUGAUGAUUUCAGGAUUUUCUUGUUUAUGGCAUUGUGUGUUUUAUAUAGAAUCAAAAUGUUUUUUGUUUUUUGUUUUGUUUUGUUUUCUCUUACCUUACGGCAGAAUCUCUCUCUGGUAUCUUUAUCAUCUUUACUGAAGGACCUGUGUGGUGAAGACAUUUGUCUAAGAAUUUCUUUCUUGCUCAAGGUUCUGAUUUCAUGAACAAGCUGACAGAGUACUCAACAGCAUGAAUUUCUGUAGAGCAGAACUGUAGCACCCAGACACCUUAGCAGGUGAUUGCCUACCAAGCUCUGCUCAGUCAGUGUUUCCAUGGAAAUAAAUUGGAGGCAUUACUUUCAGAGCAACCCAGUUCUUGGUCUAAAGAGGCUGCACUGAAACAUUGCUGUCCUACUGCUGUAUACCUGGCUCACCCUGAGUUGGCCGAUGUCUCCAAGAAUGAGAGUGCUUGGGUCUUGCAUUAGCACUGGAACGGCUGCGUGGUCCAUCCUCCUCUGAGCAGUGCCCCUGAGACCCCAUAGGAGUGUAUCAAGGGCAUCUUUUUGGUAGAUCUGUGGGGAAUACACCACAGGAAUGUCCUACUGCUCAUGCUUGUUCUCUGCAUGCAAGGCUCAGGUGGAGGUUUGUAUGUAAGGGUUACAGUUGGAAUGUGGAGAAAGUAAAUUAUUUUAAACUUAAGAGGAAAAGGGUUGCGGGAGGAUUAGGAAUGUCUGGGACAGACAUACGAAGGGGGUGGGCAGUUAUUCAUAGGUCCUAAUAUAAUAAUGCACGUCAAUAUGUGAUUCAGAUGUAAGUCUGAUGAAUUUAUAGCAAAAUGAGGAAAUAAACUGGCAAUGCAAACAGGUAUUUAAUCAGCAUAUAAUCUCAGAAACAUGUUUGGAAGGAACACUUCAUUGGUCAUUAGGUCUGUUUCCCUGCGUCAUAUGGAAGAGUUCAAUUAUUCUAACCACUCCUCCUUGGAUGGGUGUCAGACAGUUGCUAUGUCCAAUGCUAUGUCCAUUUCUGGACUGUUUGCUGCAUUUUCCUUGUCAUAGAAACAAAAGCACUGAAAUGUAAUGUAAUGUUGUUAUACUCUGCAAAAUGACCAUAAUUCAGGUUCCAUGUUUACUGCUUCCCCUGCUUACAGUAAUUUCUUACUGCUACUACUGCUUACAGUAAUUUCUGCCUAAGUAUUGUAAGUGGAUAAGUAAUCCUGUAAUUUUGUUUUCUGAACAGGAAUCCUGGAAAAUGUCCUCUGGCAGUUGAAAUUUUGGCUAGUUUGUGCUUUUUCUGUUUUAGCAUUUUACUAAAGCAUCUGGCUUCUAUAUAUGUGUAUUUUAUAUUGUCUCAUAUGACUAUGUGCAUAUAUAUAUUCCUGUUCCACACCCAUUUAGACAUGGCAGAUGGUGAGUUCUAGAAAUGAUUCUGUUUCCUUGGAAGAACUGAGUAAUUACAUUAGAAGUUUAAUGAGUUGAAAUUACUUUUCCAGUUAACAUUUGCCCUUUAAGUGUAGAGAAUUCUUUGAACAAUUUGGGCCUUAUUUGUGUGUGUUCCUAGAUGAAAUUUUGCAAAGGAACUUGGAGUUUUAUGUCUUUGCGCGCAUUUUCCGUGGGGUAUUUUGAGAUUUAAAUUUCAGUGCUUGUUACUGAAUAAACAAAUCUGAUUCCUGUUUCAUUGCAAGACUGUAACUUCCUGCCGGGAAGGCCCAGGGCAGGCUUAUGGCAGCAAACUUCUGGCAACCAAGAAUGUAGGGAGGCAUCACCUGUGCCCAGCAUUGUGAUGUUCAGGUACCUCUCUUUCUGUGGAAAGAAAUGGAAGAAAAGCACACACAGAGCAUUUCAGCAAUCUGCCAUGAGCAACACUCUCAAUCACCGUGUUCAAACUAUUCACUUUCCUUAGUUUAAACAACCAUCUCUGUCUUUUCGAUGUUGUUUUAUAUUUGUUUUAUCAGGUGCUAGCUUUUUUUUCCUGUUUGCUUAGGUUGCUUAUGGAUUAUGAAAUUAGUACAGGUUGAAUGAAUGUAAAGAAAGACUGUGGACUUGAAUUUUGCUUUCCAAAUGAUGUUUUUUCAUUAUCCUCUCAAGAUAAUACAGGUCCAUUCUUGAACCAGCCAAGGGAACUCUUGUCAUCUAGUAAGUCUUGGUCUAAUUGUGGACCUAGAGAUGGAGGAGCAGCCUGGGCUACCAGCCUUUGCAUCUCCGGCCUUUUUUGAGGACUUGCUAUCAUGGCAGCUCUUGAGUUCUGGAUCUGGUCUCCCUGCCUGCCUGGGUUUAGCACCUUAUCAGCCCUCAACUACAAGUCUAGGCAGCUGAACCUAGUUAUUUACAAUUUCUGCUAGUAUUGUUGCCAUAGAAUUGUUUUCAUGUUCUAGUCGCUGUGUUGUGGCUCUGCUCUUUUUCUGGGUGAAAAUUUCUUUCUUACUUUCUAAGGAUAAUUAUUUAUUUAUUCAUAGCAUCCAAUAUAGGGCAAAUUUGAAUUAGGAGAUGAACAUUUUGAGAAUUUAUUCUUGAAAUGGUGGAACACAAGAUUGUUUCAAUUAGGAUGAGCAACUGACACACCAGUCAGAUGUGUUGGAUGCUAUCUUGUUUAAAUAUGUUGAUUUUAAUCUUAAAAAAUAAUAAUAAAAAAUAAUUAAAAAAAAAAAAAGGUCAGAUUCAUAAUUAGUUUUUCCUUUGGGAACUCAAAAUUCUUGGUACAAAGUAUAAUGAUUUGAUCAAAAUUUUGGUGUUAGCUCUUGAUCUAAGUAGUUUCAACAUGUUCUUUGGCUUUGCUCCUAUACAGUAAAAAUAAUGGGCUAAUUGCCUUACCUGACUGACAGGUAUGUCAGAUUUGCAAAGUUAAAAGAUACGAAGUGGCUAUAAAUAGUCCCCCAGCCUUUUCUUGUUUCUUUGGGUAUUUGCUGCCUCAUUUAACCUUUUGAAGAAUUCCUUUAUUACAACUACCAAUCAGCGCCCGAGGAGGAUUCUUGUCUAGUCUGACAUGGUAUUAAUGGCAUUUAGCCCAACGGUAUUAUAAUCUGGCGGAUUCCAAAUUCUAAGGGAAAGAGAGCUUUCCCUUGUCCUGGAGCUUUCACCUUCUCUAUUAUUUUAACUAAUACAUUUCUUGUUGGCUCUGAUUCUUGCUUACUUCAAGUGAUGUUAACAUGUCUGUGCUGACGGCUCUUCUCUUUUUUUCCAGAAACCUCUCAAGGCUUUGUUUGUAUCAAUUAUAUUCCAGUACUGUAGCCUCAUCAAGAUUAUGUCUUGCAAUAUUGCAUGAACCUGAAGGCCAGCCACUUCAAGGGCUACCUGAUCAGGAAGAGGAAACUGAUGAGGUCUUCCACAGAUAGCUGAAGGUAGCAUCACAACUGUGGGCACUGGUUCUCAUGGAGAACUUCAACCACCCUGAUAUUUGCUGGAAAAGCACCACCGCCAAGCACACAGAGUCCAGAAGAUUCCUGCAGUGCAUGCAAGAUUACUAUCUCAUGCAUUUGGUGCAGGCGACAAUAAGGAGAGAUGUACCUCUGGAACUUGUUCUUACAAAAAAGGAAGAAUUGGUUGGAAAUGUGAAGUCUGUAGGCAGCCUUAGAUGCAAUGACUCUGAGAUAGAAAAGCUCAAGAUCUUACAUGGAAGAAACAGGGCAAUGUGUAAGAGCACUGGAAAGUAUGUGGGCCCAAAUAAGUUGGUUGACAUUCUAAGCUCAAGAGUGGUGGAUCCCUAAGAGUAAGAAAUCAGGCAAAGGUGGCAGGAGACCUCCGUUGAUGAGCAAGGAGCUCAUGGAAAAACUCAAAUGAAGGAACAAAUCUAUGGAAUGUGGAAAAAGGGUCUGACCAUUUCAGAGAAAUAUGGGACUGUUGUCUUCUUUAAGUAUAUCAAUAGUAAAAGGAAGACUAUUGAAAAUGCGAGUCCACUGCUAAAUGAGGUAAGUCUCCUGGUAACAGAGGACACUGAGAAGGCAGAGUUACUGAAUGCCUUCUUUGCUUCAGUCUUUACUGCUAAGACUGCCCCUCAGGAACCCUAGACCUGGAGAUUCUCAGGAGAGAGUCUGGGGAAAGGAAGACUUCCAUUUGAUGAGAAGGAUCUGAUCAGAGAUUAUCUAGACAAAUUCAACACACAGAAAUCCAUGGAUACUGAUGGGAUGCACCCAUGAGUACUGAGGGAGCUGAUAGAAGUGAUUGCCAAGUUGCUCUCUAUCGUCUUCAAAAUGGGAGAGGUGUCUGAAGACUGAAGGAUAGACAGUGUACUCCAGCCUUCAAAAUGAGCGAGAAGGAGAAGGCAGAAAACUACAGGAAAAUCAGCCUCACCUCUGUUCCUGGAUAGGUGAUGGAACAACUUGUUCUGGAUGUCAUCUCCAAGCAAUUGGAAGAGAAGGAGAUUAUCAGGAGUAGUCAGCAUGGAUUCAUCAAAGGGAAGUCUUGCUAGACCAUUCUGGUAGCCUUUUAUGAUGCCGUGUCUGGCUGGAUAGGUGAGUGGAGAGCAGAGCACCUUGAUUUUUGCAAGGCUUUUGACACUGUGCACUGAGACUGUUUAGGAGGAGAAGACUGAGAGGUGAUUUAGUCAAUGCGUAUAAAUAUCUAAAGGG